GUCAUUUCAUUAUAUCCAUAAAUUAAAUUUUAGUUAAAUUACAUAUAAAUUUUAGAAUUUUCUAUCUAUUAAAUCUAUUAUUUCUCAAACUUUUAUUAUACAAAUAUAAUUAAUCUAUUAUUCACUUGGUCUACUUCUACUAGGAUAGUAAAAUUUCAAAUAAAACCUAAUUAACAAAUUCUUGCAUUGAUUCAAAUGGGGUUGAGCACAAACCUUAGGAAAGGUGUUGGGAGAAGAUGGGGAAUUAAUUGGAGGUGAAAUUUUGAAGCAAUUUUGGUAUAGAAGAGAAAAGAUGAAGAAUGGAAAUUUUUUUGUGGUUCUCGGCAGAGGAAGGAGGAGAAAAUGGAGGAAAAGAAAUGAGUUUCUCUCUCUCUUCUAGCCUUUUCUUCUUUCUUCUUUUCUCUUUCUUUUUUUUUUUUUCUUAUUCUUUAAAUUUACUAUUUCUUUAUUUUUAUUUUACUAUCCUUAUUAUUAUUAUUAUUAUUAUUAUUAUUUUUUAGGAUGUUACAGUACAUACCUUGUCCAAUUAACUUCUUUUCUUUU
This 543-nucleotide long non-coding RNA is filed under the name Manihot esculenta (cassava). Its description in RNAcentral is "long non-coding RNA (MESC_LNC008818)". Lineage: Eukaryota; Viridiplantae; Streptophyta; Magnoliopsida; Malpighiales; Euphorbiaceae. The record is from RNAcentral.